Molecule: long non-coding RNA, 2899 nt
Organism: Ostrea edulis (European flat oyster)
Lineage: Eukaryota; Metazoa; Mollusca; Bivalvia; Ostreida; Ostreidae
Exons: 2
Source: RefSeq, a predicted model, not a curated record
UUGCAAACCUGAACAACUUUUAUUCUACAUGUUUUAUCAAAAGUUUCGUGAGAAAAAAGUUAAUCAUUGUAACAGAAAUUCAAUGGUUCAGGCGAGCCAUGAGGCCUAUGGGCCCAUUUCUUGAUAUGACACGAAAGAUCUCAAUAAACUGUACAACUUUUGUUAUAUAUGUCUAAGCGAAAUAUUUACGAGUAAAUAGUUAUGAUUUAAAACGUGGAGAAAAAUGAGACACUUUUUUAAACUCCAUUUUCGACCCCUACCGAGCUUCCAUACUAGGCGCUUCCGGAAAUUUUGAAAACCCAGGUGCACAACUACAACAUGUCGUCUAACAUCACUGAAAAUUUCAGCACUCUAGCUUUUUUCGUUUUUGAGUUUUUGUCUGGACAAAAUGGUCAUCUGAAAAUCGAUAAAAGGGGGAUAACUUCCAACCGGAAGUGAUUUUUCAAAAAUUGAAACGACGGUACAAACUUCAAAUGACAACGCAUCAAUCCUGAAAAUUUGAAGCAAAUUGAUCCAGCCAUCUCCGAGAAAUCUUCUGCACAAAAAUCGGUAAGGAGAAAAAAAAAGAAUAAUAAUAAUAAGAAAAGUGAAAAAUCAACAAUAGAAUAAUAGAAGGGUCUUCCGCUGAAGACGGAAGACCCUAAUAAGAAAAGUGAAAAAUCAACAAUAGAAUAAUAGAAGGUUCUUCCGCUGAAGACGGAAGACCCUAAUAAUAAGAAACAGAGUAAAAACAAUAUGUUCCCAAACUUUGUUUGGGGAACAUAAAAAUGCAAAAAUAGGGUGGGGUCAUUUAAAAAUCUUCUUCUCAAAAACUACUGAGCCAGGAAAGUGGAAAUUUACAUGAAAGCUUUCUGACAUAGUGCAGAUUCAAGUUUGUUAAAAUCAUGGCCCCCGGGGGUUGGAUGGGGCCACAAUAGGGGAUCAAAGUUUUACAUACAAAUAUAUAGGGAAAAUCUUUAAAAAUUUCUUCUCAAAAACUACUGGGCCAGGAAAGUGGAAAUUUACAUGAAAGCUUUCUGACAUAGUGCAGAUUCAAGUUUGUUAAAAUCAUGACACACCCCCCCCUCCCCCCCCCCCUCCCCCCCCCCCCAAGAGUAAGAUAGGCAACAAUAGGGGAUCAAAGUUUUACAUACAAAUAUAUAGGGAAUAUCUUUAAAAAUCUUCUCAAGAACCACUGAGCCAGAAAAGCUGAGAUUUACUUGAAAGCUUCCUGACAUAGUGCAUAUUCAAUUUUGUGUGAAACUCAUGACCCCUGGGGUUAGGAUAGGGCCACAAUAGGGGAUCAAAUUUUACUUAAGGUAUUCCAUGUAUAAUGAAAGGAUAAUGAACAAUUUUGAAGGAUUUAGAUCAACAUAAAACUUUAUUGUUAAAUAAUGAUGGAAGUGAAGCAGAUGAAAUUCACAUGACUGGUAAAUGAUUAGAAGCUGACCUUUUUGCACUUAAGACUUUUUGGAAGAGUUGUCUGCCCUUUGUAAAAAUAAGAAAAAUCUAAUUUUCUAAAAAUGUGUGUGGUCAAUGAUUAAUUUUAUUUCAUAUUUUCAUAAAAAGAAAGUGUAUGUAACUUUCUACCAAGAGAUUAGUAUGAAUAUAUAAUUUGUUUUUAAAAUAUUGUAAUAAAAGAUGCUUUUCCCAUAUACUUCAAUGUUAAAUUCUAGGUGAAAUAUAUCAAGCAGUAAACAAAAUUUAGAAAAUUCCUACCGUGGGUUAUUUUUAUUUGAUGAACCCUUCAAAAUGAUACCAUGAUUACAAAUAUUCCACCAUCCAUUUAUUAGAUAUGAAAUAUGGUCAUUAUACAUUGAAUACCUUAACAAAUAAAUAGAAAAAAUAUCUUACUUGUCCCAUAAUUUUAAAACUUGCAUAAUUUUAUGAAAAAUAUUCUUUAUACUAUAGUUGAAAAGGAUACUAAAUACAAUAAAAAUUGUUGUGAGCAUAUUUACAGAGAUAUUGCGAGUUGAAAUCCAAAUACAGCAAUAUGCAUAUUUCGAUCGGAGAUUUACACGCCUAUUACUGUGACGUCAUAUGCAACAAUUGGAAUGAGAAAGCACGUAGUAAGCCGGUGGUGAUUUAGGUGAUAAUCCUAUUAUUUUAUCUAUAAAACUGCUUUAACAGCAUUAUCUGUGUAUUUACUCAUCAAUUAAUGGACUAUGGUGUAUUGUUUGGCAUACGGUUGCACCAAUAUUCAGAAGAAAGGGUGCCGAUUUAAUCAUUUUAGUUCCUCAAAGGAUGCAGCUGGGAGGAUGGCAUGGAUCAUACACAAGUUUGAUGCUACAGAUAUUAGUCGGUUGUGUUCGGAACACUUUUCAAAACUUCAGCUAGACCGAGAUCCUGAGAAUUAGAAGGCGACUGGCUUUGCAGGGGCAAAGAUUCGACUUAAAAGUGAUGCCUACCAGGUCUGUUUGUUCAAAGUCCCGGAGUUAUGGGAGUUCAAAAUGCCCCAACCCUGAGGGGCCUUCUUGAAACUACAAUGGGCUGAUACUACAUGGAGAUUCUGUGCAUUAACUUAGUGGAACGCCAUCUUCAGUUUCCAUCAUGUCCAGCAGCUACUGCGGAAGCCGGCAGAGGCAUAGACCAUUGACCACCACCUCUUACCUCUUCCUUCGCUUAUUUCAAUAUGGAUUGACUCAUCUGCAUUCAGUCUCAUUGCGCAAGAGAGACAAGGUUUGCCCAUGGCAAUCUGGUUGACUGUUGAGGACCCAAGAACUUGAAGAUGAAUACCACUGAAAGACUUGUUGAUGAUGUUAUAAUUGUGGUUUUCUAUUGAUACUAUUUAAAUGUGCUGGAAUUUUUAUUGUCAUAGAUAAAAAUAUUUUUCAAUGUUACAAUGUUUGUUUUCAAAUCGCUCGUGUCAAGUUCAAACUGCGUGUUGAUGAUUCUAAAUAAGAGGUGAUUUUGUGAAAAU